CCGCCCCGUUCCGCCGGCGCAGGGCUCAGGGGCCCCGGAGCUUGGGAGCGCGAGGGAAGGAGCUGAAGGGGCGGGUCCGUGGGAGGCGAAGGCAGGGGAAAUGUGUGUCUGCAUUUUUUAAUUUGCAGGGGAUAUUUUCCGUCCCCUUUGUCCCGUAAGCCUCUGCUUUUUGGAUGAAAACGUUGGCUUUACCACCCUCUCUCUCCUUCCCGCACGCGCACACCUUGAAGGCAUCCUACCAGGCGGUGACCGCAGAGGAAGCACCCAGAGCCACAGUUCUUGCCUUGUCAGCUGCUCCCACCACGUCCCCAGAAAGCUCCGGGUUCGUCAGAACAGCAACAUUAAAGGAAGGCCCAAUUUAUCUAUGGAAAAAUCCGCUCCGGCCUUCCUCUUGUAGCCCCAACCGUUUUCACUUCUAAGUAGCCGCUUUGGGUCUUACUUGUUGGUUGUACAGUUGCUGUCAAUGUGCCUACCAUUUUGUACCCAGCUUAAAAUUGUUUAUUUAUUUAUUUAUUUAUUUAGAGGCAGAGUCUCGUUCUAUCACCCAGGCUGGAGUGCAGCGGGGCGAUCUCUGUUCAUUACAACCUCCGCCUCCCGGGUUCAAGCGAUUCUCCUGUCUCAGCCUCCUGAGUAGCUGGGAUUAUAGAGGUGUGCCACCGUGCUCGACUAAUAUUUGUAUUUUUAAUAGAGACUGGGUUUCGCCAUGUUGGCCAGGCUUGUCCUGAACUCCUGACUCAAGUGAUCUGCCUGCCUUGGCCUCCCAAAGUGCUGGGAUUACAGGCGUGAGCCACCAUGCCUGGCCAAAUUUUUUUUUUUAAUGUAUCAGCAAUAUUUUUUCAUGUUUCUCUUUAUAUAUAUAUAUAUUUUUUGACACAGGGUCUUACUUUGUCGCCCAGGCUGGAGUACAGUGGCAUGAUCGUAGCUCAUUGCAGCCUCCACCUCCCUGGGCUCAGGAGAUCCAUCUCAGCCUCCUGAGUAGCUGGGACCACAGGUUUUGUUCAGGUUUAGCACAAGCUGUGAUGAAUAUCUUCAAGCCUCUGCUUCCUGCUGUGGAAUUGUUGCCAAAGGACACAUUCCCAGAUGGGAUUACUGAGUCAGAGGAAGUGGACAUUGAGUGGCUCUCAACAGACAGGCUGUGUUGCUCUCACAGUGCCCAGGCUCUCCCUCUAUCGUCCAGGCUGGAGUGCAGUGGCACCAUCACGACUGACUGCAGCCUCCUGCGCCCCGUGAUCUUCCCACCUCAGUGCCCUGAGUAACUGGGACCACAGCUUCCCAUGGGUGGCCAGCCGAAUGCAUUAUGGGAGAAAGCAGGUCUCGUGGAUAAUAUUUCUGAAGAUCGGAGCAGGUUGCCAGGUCCACGUCGGCCAUGACUGCAGCACGCUCCGGAGGCAGCAGGGGGCACCCUGGAGCUUCGCAUCCUCCUUCAGGCCCGCGGCAUCUCCCCUGGCUCCACCAUCCCCAGGUGUCUCAGGUUGGACGCACGGUAGUUCGCUAUGGCCAUUUCUGAUUAAAGACAGAACAAAUGGAUUGUCCGGAUACGGUGUCUGUGAAAGGAACCCAGCUGUGAGCCUCGGCAGGCAGGUGCGACAUUCUAAAUCCACAGGGAGGGCCCAGAAGGGACGCAAGAGGUCACCUGCCGUGCAGGGUGCGGGGGGUCUUGGAGGUGGGCAGCAGCUGUUCACCCGUGAGCGACGAGGAGCAUCAGCGCUUGAACAGCGGAAGCAGCAUUUACAGGUGAACACCAGCCCGAGAGGGCCGGGGGGCCCAAAGCUAUGGUGUCCAGAGCCUCCCAGCUCCCACUCUGGCCUCCAGUGGCCAUGGAAUUGCUAACUAUGAGGGCGCAAGCUUCUCCCAGCAAGUCAAGGGGAUGCUAUGUGCUGCGAUAACGGGUCCGGCCGCCUUGCCUUUGGCCUUCCAAGCCCCUCUCUGAGCCCCAGGACGUACCCACACCUGCCGGCCCAUGUAGGGUGGUCCCAGCCUGCGUCAGUCAGGCCACACUCCGGAGCCAGGCUUGGUGCAAACUCCCAGCUGAGCUCACCCGCUGGCUGCGGUCUGUGAUACUUCCCUGGUGGUCUCUGACGGGGCUGUAUGGCCUCCCUCUGGAACCCAGGCUGAACACUCGAGGAGCUGGAGGCAGUCGGGCAGAAUCAGCCUCUGGUUGCCAGCAUGGGGUGUCAGGCAGGGGCAAUCCAGCGGGGAGCCUGGGGAGAGAGGGCGGGGGUGAGGCACUGAUCUCAGGCUGUGGGGAGGAAUUCACACCUGCAUGGCUGAGGCUGGUGCUGCCCCCCUGAUCACCAGGAGAUCAGCCUCUCCUUCCCCAGCCUCAAUUUGCACCCCUGGCCUGUGCGGUUGGCACUGUCUCCCGUGGGGAGCCCCUGCCUGGCUCAGGGGAGACCCUGGUGCAGAGCCCACCUUUGGAGCUGCCCUGUCCUGCUGAGGCAGGAGCCACCCCUGGCCUGGCCCUGGCCCUGGCCCUGGCCCUCCGGUGAGGCUGCAGUAGCCAGGAGAAGGCCAGUCAGAAAGGCCAUCUGCCUGGCGGGUGUUUCUAGCCAGCAGGCCAGGGUAAGGAAGUUGUCAGGCGUCCUGCGGGGAUGGCCAGGGUUGCAGACAGGGGUGGCAGCCAGCUCCAUGUAGCUCUGGGACCCAGGUGUGUGGCAGGGCCAGGAGCAUGUUCUGCUGCUCUUCCAGGCCCGACUCCAGCUCAUUUCCUUGAGAGACCCUUUCACCUAUUCCAACCUGCAUUUGCCUGUGUCGUCCUUUGCAGCAGCAGCCUUGUGGCUGUGCCUCUUCUGUGCCCUCCGAGUUCUAGGCUGAGGGUGAGGAUUGGAUGAGUUGAUCCACGCAAGGCUCCUGGCACAGUGCCUGGCAUAUGGUUAAAUAGACUUGAAGUUAUAAUUACCAGGUAUGUGACCCUGUCCUCAAUAUGAGUGCCACAGUGGGCUGGAGAGUGGCAGCCCUGCUGGGCAGGAUCGUAGGGUCUCAGUGACAGGCCUUCCUCGUAUCCCUGACAGGGAGAGAGGCUCACUGAAUAGUAAGUUGGCUGUGUCUUUUCUGUCUGAGCCUCUCUGGGAAGCUUCCAAGGGGAUAAAGGCUUGAGCUGGAACUUGGAGGAGUUUGCAGGUGGCUGGAUUGGGGUGGGGGUGGGGAGGAGGGUGCCAGCAUGCCAGGUGGGGGAACAGCAUGGGCGAAGGUAUGGAGAUGGGGGAGGGAUCUGGACAGGGUGCCUGUGGCUGGAGCACAGGGCAUGUGUGGGCGGGAAGCAGGUGAAGAGAGGAAGAGCUCUGGGGGACUUCUGGAGGGGACCCACCGUAGGAGCAGGCCAAUGGCUGGCAGGGCUAAGUGGUGCAGGUGCCCCUGAUGGAUUUGAUCGAGGUGGGCACACAUGCUCAUGUCAGAGGCAUGUAAACCAGAGCAACUCCAUCUUGCGUAGGAGCUGGGUAAAAUGAGGCUGAGACCUACCGGGCUGCAUUCCUGGACAGUUAAGGCAUUCUAAGUCAUGGGACAAGACGACACAGGUCAUAACGACCUUGCUGAUGAAACAGGUUGCAGUAAAGAAGCUGGUCAAAACCCACAAAAACCAAGACAGCCAUGAGAGUGACCUCCGGUCGUCCUCGCUGCUACACUCCCACCAGGGCCAUGACAGUUUACAAAUGCCACAGCAAUGUCAGGAAGUUAGCCUAUAUGGUCUAAAAAGGGCAGGCAUGAAUAAUCCACCCCUUGUUUAGCAGAUCAUCAAGAAAUAACCAUAAAAAUGUGCAGCCAGCAGCCCUCGGGGCUGCUCUGCCUAUGGAGUAGCCAUUCUUUAUUCCUUUACUUUCUUAAUAAACUUGCUUUCACUUUACAGACUCACC
Molecule: long non-coding RNA, 3851 nt
Filed under: Homo sapiens (human)
Lineage: Eukaryota; Metazoa; Chordata; Mammalia; Primates; Hominidae
Description: non-protein coding lnc-ROCK2-3:21
Source: RNAcentral